RNAcentral lists this ribosomal RNA (799 nucleotides) under Vreelandella aquamarina. Its description in RNAcentral is "bacterial SSU rRNA". It matches the Rfam family "Bacterial small subunit ribosomal RNA", at positions 592 to 1388 of the family's 1533-position model. The record is from RNAcentral. Lineage: Bacteria; Pseudomonadati; Pseudomonadota; Gammaproteobacteria; Oceanospirillales; Halomonadaceae.
UUGUGAAAGCCCCGGGCUCAACCUGGGAACGGCAUCCGGAACUGUCAAGCUAGAGUGCAGGAGAGGAAGGUAGAAUUUCCCGGUGUAGCGGUGAAAUGCGUAGAGAUCGGGAGGAAUACCAGUGGCGAAGGCGGCCUUUCUGGACUGACACUGACACUGAGGUGCGAAAGCGUGGGUAGCAAACAGGAUUAGAUACCCUGGUAGUCCACGCCGUAAACGAUGUCGACCAGCCGUUGGGUGCCUAGCGCACUUUGUGGCGAAGUUAACGCGAUAAGUCGACCGCCUGGGGAGUACGGCCGCAAGGUUAAAACUCAAAUGAAUUGACGGGGGCCCGCACAAGCGGUGGAGCAUGUGGUUUAAUUCGAUGCAACGCGAAGAACCUUACCUACUCUUGACAUCCUGCGAAUUUGGUAGAGAUACCUUAGUGCCUUCGGGAACGCAGAGACAGGUGCUGCAUGGCUGUCGUCAGCUCGUGUUGUGAAAUGUUGGGUUAAGUCCCGUAACGAGCGCAACCCUUGUCCUUAUUUGCCAGCGCGUAAUGGCGGGAACUCUAAGGAGACUGCCGGUGACAAACCGGAGGAAGGUGGGGACGACGUCAAGUCAUCAUGGCCCUUACGAGUAGGGCUACACACGUGCUACAAUGGUCGGUACAAAGGGUUGCCAACUCGCGAGAGUGAGCCAAUCCCGAAAAGCCGAUCUCAGUCCGGAUCGGAGUCUGCAACUCGACUCCGUGAAGUCGGAAUCGCUAGUAAUCGUGGAUCAGAAUGCCACGGUGAAUACGUUCCCGGGCCUUGUACAC